This is an RNA transcript of Carassius gibelio (silver crucian carp), 5553 nucleotides long. It is a transcript of the gene named afadin- and alpha-actinin-binding protein-like, with no coding region annotated. NCBI's taxonomy places the organism in Eukaryota, Metazoa, Chordata, Actinopteri, Cypriniformes, Cyprinidae. The transcript is spliced from 13 exons. The record is from RefSeq and is a predicted model, not a curated record.
AACAAAUAAAUAGAAAUGUUUACCAGAUAUAGUAACUGACUAAAAUGUAUACUUACUGUUGGUGUAUAAGCAUGUGCUAUUACAUUUUAUUGCUGCUAUGCUGAAAUAUUGCUGCUGAUAUUGUUUCGUGUAUUAGACAAGAUGUUGUAUAUGUUGUGUUUGGAAGAUUUAAAAUGUCUUUGUCAUACGAAAGGCAGGCGUGUUCGUAGAGGCAACUUUUCAUUAAAUAUUUGUUAUUUUAUCUUCAACAGUGCAAAGGUUGUAUUUUAAAGUAUAAUAUUGCUGGAAUAAAAUAUCCAAGCUGAUUUGUCUGAUGCAAGUGUUCUUAUAAAUGUUGAGUUUUGCGGUGAUAAACUAUAUUUUAGCCCUACGUUACUAAAACUAUAACUAUAUUAUAAUAAACUACAUUACUUUAUUACAGAAACUAACCUAUUUUAGUGUUUAUCCCCUGCAUUGACUGCGACGACGCCUAUUGGUGGAUAUUCUGCAUGAGCUCAGCCAAUGACAGGCCCUCGUUUUCGUUGCAUGGUAACGCAUUCGCUGUUGAGUGUUUUCGUUCAAGGUUGUGCUGCAGGAGCCUGCAUCAAUGUAACGACGUGCCACAAUAGGACACUUUAUUACGCAAAUUAUCUGGGAAAGAUGUAUCAAUCCGUGCCGAAUGUCGGGAAAUGAUGCUGACAAACCUCACGAGUGCUCUUGAAUGCCAAAAGAUACGCGAACAUAUAGGCAUUACUGACUACAAUGUCUCCUUCAAGACUCUACACGGCAUCUGUCACGCCUCCUUUGCCUUUAAGCUCUUUCAACGUCUCAAGCAACUUCUGCACGGAAGAGAAUGUCUCUGAGUGCAUUCUAUACAUCAAUCAGGAGUUGUUGUCCCUGUGUUUUCCACCAAUUUUCCAAAACUCAGACAGCAUUAGUGAUCUGGAUGCUGUGGUUGCCCUAAACAACAUAUAUGACUUGCUUCAGCUCCACCGUCGAGCUGUUGGAAUGAUGGAGGAGCUGGAGGUGGAGCAGCUCAAGUCCAGCAGUGACCUCCACUACCAACAUCUCACCAACUCCAGGCUAAAGGACCAGCUUGAACUUUCGAAAAAGGAAAACAUGCGCUUGCAUGAGCGAGAGCGUCAGCUGGAAACAAAUGUAAAGACUUUGCAAAAUUGCCUAAAAGAUACAAAAGAAGAGGUACAACGGCUGCAGGGUAUCAUUGCAAGUCGUGCCACACAGUACAACCAUGACAUUAAGAGAAGAGAAAGGGAGCACAACAGAGUAAAAGAGCGCCUCAAUCAACUACUCAUUGCCAAAAAGGAAAAUAAACAAGGAAUGGAAGUUUUGAAUUAUGUUGGAAGGUCUGAUGGUAGGAGAUGUCUUUGGAAAACCGGAAAAACUGAAUCCAGACACGAGGGAGAUAUGUACAAAACUCUUCUUAAUGAAUUUGAUAACCGUCAGAGGGAGCUAAUGGUGGAAAACAUAGAGCUGAAGAAGGUGCUUCAGCAAGUAAAACGAGAAAUGGUGGGGGUUUUAAAUUCAAAGAAGAUGAGCCAAGAGGAAGAGAAGCAAAGCAAUGAUAUGGAUCAGUCAACUCUGCAGACAAAUUCUGAUGAAGAUGAACUUUUGAAAGGACAUCAUGAGAUGUCAUGUGAUCAUGCUCGGGAGAAACUCACCAACAGCAUUCGUCAGCAGUGGAGGAAACUCAAGCACCAUGUUGAGAGAUUAGACAGCCAAGCAUCCAUGGUGCAAGAUGGAGACAGUGAAGAGGUGAUCUCCAAACAACUUCAUGAAGAGGAGAUGGAGAGGCUCAAACUAGAAAUCCAGCAGUGUAAAGAGUUCAUUCAGACUCAACAGCAACUUCUCCAACAACAGCUCAACACUCCCUGUGAUGAGGAGACUGCAGCUGUUCUGAAUGACUCUUACAUGCUGGAAGAGAAGGAACGCUUGAAAGAAGAGUGGAAAGUGUUUGAAGAACAGAGGAAAAAUUUUGAAAUGGAAAGGAGAAAUUUCACAGAGGCUGCCAUCAGAUUGGGCCACGAGAGGAAAUGUUUUGAGGAUGAUCGUGCAAUGUGGAUCAAACAUCAGUUUCUUAACACAACAUUUGCAGACCAGAUGAAACCACAAAGUCGAAUGGCUGAUGAAUUUUCAAAGCAUUCUGGUCGUGAAGAAAAGCUCAUUUCAAUUUCUGGUAAAGUGAGCAAAUCUCAUCUGUAAUCCCAUCCAUGGAACUGCUUGCAGAUGAACCUACUUUUUUUUUUUCAACACCAGAGGAGAGAUACCAGGAACCAAUAUGAAUUAGUUGCUGAAAAUCCCAGUCUGUCAAGAUCCUUUCUCCAGGAGUGUGCGAGCCUAAAUCCAGUCAGCCCUGUCAGUGGUGUGUGUGUGUGUGUGCCAUCAGUCUGUCAUCCUCCACAACCCCAGUCCAAACCCAUCCUGGCAAGCGCUUUUCGCUGUUCCUACUACGGAAAGAACUGUCAUCCAUUCACGGGUCGAACUCAAGGAUUCCUCACACUAGAACUGUGACACUCACCCAUUCCUCCACAUCCAUUCAUUCUGCCACCCAGCUGUUCAAAAUAAACCACCUUCACUAUUGUUUACCUGGUUGUCCAUCUGCUUCCUUAACAGAAGCCCGGACCUAAAACGACAGCAAAACAGCAUGAGUGUUCCAGAUCCCUUCCAAGAGGUGGUGGAUUCUUUGAAGAGGGUAUUAACAUCCUCUCCUACCAUCAUGCCUCCUGCACCACCGGCACCACCACCACCAAGCACUUCUCCGGCCACCGCAUCUUCCAGUCCCAUGGCCCGACCGGCGCGGCGGAGGAGUGCAAUGUUUUUUUGCUUCAAUGCUCCCUUAUAUUCACGAUGCAACCAACUCUAUAUCCUCCGCCCAUCUGAAGCCGCCAGCCCUCCAGAACCAGAACCCAUGAUCAUUGAAUCUGGCAAAAUUACCGCUGCUGAGCGACAGAGGAGGCUGACCCGGGGUCUGUGUAUGUAUUGUGGAGCCAGUGGACAUGUUCGGUUGAACUGUCCAAUCCGUCCCAUACGAACAUCAGUGAGUGUUUUCCAUACUGAUGAUGAAAAAAUGCAUCCUCUCACUGUUUGUGUCCAGUUAACCACCCACACAUCCUCUGUUUAAGUUCACACUAUCAUCGACUCUGGGUCAGCAGGAAAAAUUUCAUCUCGGGGACCCUCUGUCACCAGCUCCAGCUCCGUACCAAAGCCUCGUCUAGUAUUUACCAGAUCCAACCCAUAACCAAGUUCAUCACUGCACGUCCACGUAUUCACCGGAAAUGUGAGACCAUUACACUUCAAAUCGGAGCCUUACACCAGGAAGAUAUUCAGCUGCUGGUUCUGGAGAUGUCAUACUUGGGCGGUCGUUGCUAGUGAAGCAUGAUCCCAUCAUCUCUUGGGGCUCCGGGGAAGUGAUGAAGUGGGGCAAGGAAUGCUCACCAAGAUGUUUCCCGAUUCUUCCUCAACCGAUUCCGAAUCCUAUACCUGUCAAUCUCACGUCAGUCGAAAGUCCACUCAAUAAACAGUUCAUGAAGAUUCCUGACAUCUACUCAUCUUUUCAAGACAUCUUCUGCCCCAAGAGAGCUUCCCAGCUACCAUCUCAUCGGCCAUGGGACUGCGCCAUUGACCUGAUUCCAAAUGCUCCGUUGCCCAGAGGAAAGAUCUACCCGUUGUCACUUCCAGAGACCAAGGCCAUGGAGGACUAUAUUCAGGAGGCUCUCAGUCAAGGGUAUAUUUGUCAUUCUACAUCCCCUGCAACAUCCAGUUUCUUUUUUGUGGCCAAAAAGGAUGGAGGGCUAUGGCCAUGCAUUGAUUACUGAACCCUUAACCAAAGCACCAUCAAAUCCAAAUAUCCCCUUCCUUUUGGCCCUGCGGCCCUCGAACAACUUAGAUCUACUACCAUCUUCACUAAGUUGGACCUCCGCAGCGCAUACAAUCUGGUGAGAAUACGUGAAGGGGAUGGAUGGAAGACCGCUUUUGUGACCCCAACUGGUCACUAUGAAUAUCUGGUUAUGCCCUGUGGUUUAGUCAACGCCCCUUCCGUUUUCCAAAACUUCAUACACAAAGUCCUCUGGGAGUUUCUGCAUCGCUUCAUGGUCGUUUAUAUAGAUGACAUUAGAGCCCUGCACAGGCCUCAAAUCUAGGCCCAAGCCCGGCCCUGGCCCGAGACGCUCAGGCCCUAGCCCGACCCGUGUCCGACAGCUCAUCAGAAUUAUCAGCCCGAGUCCGACACGAGCCCGUGUUUUUAUUUAUUUAUUUAUUUAUUUUAUUACACAGCGGGAGCCUGCCCUAUUUGCAACGAUUAAAAAAGGUGGCAGUUUUGUGUUAUGUUUCUUUUCAUUUCUUUAUCAAGUUAAUUUAGAAAAAUGUUUGGAGCAUUUAAAAAAAAAAAAGUACGAUUAACGUUAAACAGCCGAGCCGACAGCGAGUAGCCUAAAACAUGUUUAAUCAAUUAAGCCUCUCAAUAAAACUACAAUAAAAUCCAUAUAUAAAACACUUACAUCACACAGACAGUUAGUUUAAUAAAUGUUUGUUUAUUAAACCACAGUGAGUAAAAAAAAAAAAAAAAUUGAAAUACUGAGGCAGGCUCGCAACAGCGCUCGCAAACGAAAUGAGAAAUAGCCUACAAUCUAAACAAAAAAAUUAAUUAAAUAUUAAUCUUACCUCAAAAAUGAAAAGUUAGAACAGUCUCUUACAGAGCAUCGUGGAGAAAAAGAAUAGCCUCCAGAGAGGAAGGUUUUAACCCAGUCCUCCUCUCUUCUAUCACUCUUCCCGCUGUGCUUGAAGACACGUUCGCUGCUGCUGCUGACGGGACACUAAACACAUAGCGAGCCAGUCUUGACAGUUGCGGUAGCAGGGUCUCAUGCUGUUUACAUUUACAUUACUUUAGAGGCCUAUAAUAGCUACUACUACAAUAAGUAGAUAUAAGUGAAGUGUAAUCGUGGGUCGCGCUGACGGAAAAGCGCGCGUGCGUGCGUGCGCAAGACUGUAAUGUCAGUAUGUCAGUUUAAUUAUAACUGGUUGAAUUAUCAGAUUAUGAAAGUUAUGAGGUUAUGAAAUGUCUUUCUAUGUUUGUUUUUCUAUCGGCGGCGUCAACUUCUCAUUUUUUUAUGUAAUGUCUAAAAAUAUAAAUAGAAGGAUAACCCAAAAAAGGCCCGAGGCCCGGCCCGCAUGUGAGCUAUAACGUGAAAAUUGGCCCGAAGCCCGGCCCUAGGGGCAUAAAUAAGUCGGGGCCCGACAGGGGGUCCGCAUGGAUGAGAGGAAGGGGGCUGCAGUCACUACCUGGCCAGAACCGACCACGGUUAAAGAACUCCAGAAUUUCCUUGGAUUCACCAACUUUUGCAGACGUUUCACUCAGCUGUUCAAAAUAAACCACCUUCACUAUUGCUUACCUGGUUGUCCGUCUGCUUCCUUAACAUUCAUAAGAAUCAAGUGAUCUAUUGUGUCAAAAGUUUCACUUUAGUACAAUAAAAUUAGAACUGCAUUACAUGCAAAUGUAGACCUUUUUUGUGUUUUUGUAUUAAAGUACGCAAAAACAGUUAGCCAUUUUGGUAUGUACGU